RNAcentral lists this long non-coding RNA (1092 nucleotides) under Coturnix japonica (Japanese quail). RNAcentral's name for it is "lncRNA (ENSCJPG00005014888.1)". The record is from RNAcentral. Lineage: Eukaryota; Metazoa; Chordata; Aves; Galliformes; Phasianidae.
AUGCCAGGGGAAAACUAUCUGGCUAGGGGAAAUUUAUUUGGCUUGGGGAAAUUGAUUUGGCUUGGGGAAAUUGAUUUGGAAGAAAGCCCAUUCCGGAUGCCGAAUUAUGCCAGCGAGACUUCAGGCGCUGCUAUCGUUCAUUCCAAGACUUCUCCCUCCUGGACUGGAAGUGGGAAAGUCUUUUGGCAGUCGUUGCUGGUGACACCUUAUAUGAGGGCUCCUGAGAUUAUUCUUGAGGUAAGAACACUGAGAAACGGGGGAAGAAUGGUACGGGGUGGAGGAGACCAAAAGCCCUGCAGAGGAUUGUCCUUACACUUGUCCUCACAUCCCAGCUUGCCUUACCUAUGGUCUUCUUGCAAGGCCCUAGUCCCCUCUUGUGUAUCCCUGCUGAGAAUUUCUUCUCUGCCAGUCCGUCACUUCUGUGCUUGCUUGUCUUCCCAGCCAUUGUGGAACUGUCAGGCUGGCAUUGAAGGGGAACCCGUAAGGUGCCACGGGAGAUUUGGGGUGCGAGAUCGCUGGGGCUCUCAGUGGACCCAGGUGGGCACAGAGGGCGUGCGCUGCAGGAGGGCCCCAUGUUGUGUUUGCCAGCGUAUCGUGUCACUGCUCCCAAGCUACCUAACAAAUCGGAGCCCCGGCUGGUGCUGGUGCAAAGAGGUGGGAAUUGAUGAGGGGGAGCGAUUGCUUCCCCUUGCAGGAAAGGCUCGUGCAGGCCAGCCCUUCUUUGUCCUGGCAGGUGCCCCUCAACCACUGCAGCCCCUCCUUGUUUUUGGCAAGUUGCUCCGCAAAAGAAGGAGCCUGAGAGCUUCUGCGAGUUGUGCACCCAGCUCACUGUCGUGCACUUAUGAAUGUGCUUCGGAGCAGAGCUGAUGGGCCAAUACAACUCCAGAGCCUCUGAUGCUGGAGCAGGAAUUCCAGCCAGGACUCUCUUUCACACGUGAACACUGUUCCUUCUUCUCUUUCUAGCCUGACAAUCAUCCAGGAAACUGCUGGCCCUUCCCAGGAAGCCAAGGGGAGGCUUGGGGAAAUUGAUUUGGCUUGGGGAAAUCUAUUUGGCUUAUCUCAAAAUAAAUUAAACAAAUAAAAAAUUAAACA